GAUGAACAGGAAGGGGCUCAGGACGGAACCUCGCUCCGGAUUUCACUUGAAAGCCCCCCGACACCCCAUAGCCGCUUCACACGUGCACUCUCCCUCGUUCACGCUGAUCCUGGAUCAGCCGGACGUACACCUCAGGGAUUCCUCUUCUUCUCAUGCACCACCAGCUGAGUGGACUUGCUGAAGACCGGUACCAGCAGUGUCAAGAUCGGCCUCCAAGCUAAGUUCUUUAGUUCGUAUUUGUUAUACAUUUGCUAUAAUUUUACAACAUAUACUCCCUUCUUAAGUUAAAAUGUUACUGUUUGCGUGGGUUUGUGUAAACAUGUUUGUUAUUUAACGUAUUGUCUUUAGUCUAACACUUAACGGUUGUAUGUGUUAAGAUCCUACCUUUUUUACGAUUUUUUUAUUUUUUUAAAGAUCCUAAUUUUUUUUUAGUUUUUGUAUUUUAAAAAGUUCGUUUUGAACGGAUUUUUGUAUGAUUUUAUGACUCAGUUUUUAACGGGGUAUUUUUUUCAUCCGUUUUAAUUGGCAGAAUAAGUAAAUAUUCCGAUCACGAUCAUCGGCCUCAUAUGAAAUGCCCCCGCCAGGUGGCGGCAUCGCCCCACGGUGAAUUGUGCCAAGACGCUCGCCCGAGUGGCCGUGGCCACGAAACUGACAAGCAAGCAACAUCCAUCCCAUCCAUUAUUCAGCUCUCAUGAAAUAUUCACCCGCAACACGAGUCGAACCGCGAACUCAGAGGAGUCCCGUGCCAAAUUUGAGGGAUUGCAUCCGUGACGGCCACAUCCAGAGGGAUUGCUGGAUCCAUGACACGGGUGACAGAGGCGCCACGCUGGGAGACAAAUGCGUCCGGGCGUGGUGCUCCCUCGUGUGCCGUGCCGACCUUCAUAGGUGCUUGCAAACAGAACUUGCCCCAACAGUCUGA
Long non-coding RNA from Lethenteron reissneri (Far Eastern brook lamprey), 919 nucleotides. RefSeq lists it as uncharacterized. The record is from RefSeq and is a predicted model, not a curated record. NCBI's taxonomy places the organism in Eukaryota, Metazoa, Chordata, Hyperoartia, Petromyzontiformes, Petromyzontidae.